RNAcentral lists this non-coding RNA (31 nucleotides) under Homo sapiens (human). Lineage: Eukaryota; Metazoa; Chordata; Mammalia; Primates; Hominidae. The record is from RNAcentral.
UUCCCAGAGCUGAUCCACUGGCGUGAUUUGC